RNAcentral lists this unclassified non-coding RNA (889 nucleotides) under Portunus trituberculatus (swimming crab). RNAcentral's name for it is "octopamine receptor beta-2R-like, transcript variant X1". Lineage: Eukaryota; Metazoa; Arthropoda; Malacostraca; Decapoda; Portunidae. The record is from RNAcentral.
GAUGAUGAAGGAAGGGUGUGAAGGAAGAUGAGUGGGAGGGAGGGAGGGCCACCUUUGGCACUGAGCGCCCAACUCGCCUCAGUUGCCCGGACGACACGGCACGAGGAGGUUGUGGCCUCGUCCUCGCGCCAGUCUGGCCCCGCAUCUGGCCGAGGCGACGCUCCGGGACUGCCGCAGCCUCCACCCACCGGAAAAUGAAAGUAAAACAAAAGGCAAUGUAAGGACAGAACAUGACUGGAAGGACACACAAGUGAACAUGUAGACUGCGACGCACCCAAGCACGAACGCACAGCCCGCACGAUGUCUCCCUCCCUUCCUCCCUGGCCAGGCGCCGCGGCCUCGCCGGCACUCACCACCACAGCCGGCGGCGCCGCGGGCCUGACAUGCACGAGUGGCGGGCGGCCGCCACCCUCCGCCUUGAAAAAUAACGUUUGGCUACGAGCAGGGGACGGCUCCCCUCAGAACGGCGACGGACCCCAUCUCUCUCGCUUGAGUAAGCCAAUCAGGUGCUGCGGCGCGGCCCGCGGGGCCCCCGCCCCACUCUAUCCUCAAUACUACUGUAGCCUACGUGGUAAAUGUUGUUAUAUGCUUAAGAUGUUCACUUGAAAUUCAUCUGAAAUAUCUUAUUUUUUCUAAAAAAAAAAAUGUAUAUCAUCAAAAUUACUCCUAGACACCAGCACUGAACAGCAUCUGCCGGGCGCCGCCACGCGCCCUGCUGCUGUGCGGUGUUAAGCGGUAGCAGAGGUGGUGUGCCGUGCUGGGUGCUGCGCCACCCGCUUCAUGACCUGCAGCGAUCAUGGGAUAACAAGAAUGUUAGCGUGCUCGCAGGUGGUGACCACCGUGUAUCACGUCUGGUGUGGUCGCUCUAAUAAAUAUAUAAACAUCUUCA